AAAUUGAAGAGUUUGAUCAUGGCUCAGAUUGAACGCUGGCGGCAGGCCUAACACAUGCAAGUCGAACGGUAACAGGAAACAGCUUGCUGUUUCGCUGACGAGUGGCGGACGGGUGAGUAAUGUCUGGGAAACUGCCUGAUGGAGGGGGAUAACUACUGGAAACGGUAGCUAAUACCGCAUAACGUCGCAAGACCAAAGAGGGGGACCUUAGGGCCUCUUGCCAUCGGAUGUGCCCAGAUGGGAUUAGCUAGUAGGUGGGGUAAAGGCUCACCUAGGCGACGAUCCCUAGCUGGUCUGAGAGGAUGACCAGCCACACUGGAACUGAGACACGGUCCAGACUCCUACGGGAGGCAGCAGUGGGGAAUAUUGCACAAUGGGCGCAAGCCUGAUGCAGCCAUGCCGCGUGUAUGAAGAAGGCCUUCGGGUUGUAAAGUACUUUCAGCGGGGAGGAAGGGAGUAAAGUUAAUACCUUUGCUCAUUGACGUUACCCGCAGAAGAAGCACCGGCUAACUCCGUGCCAGCAGCCGCGGUAAUACGGAGGGUGCAAGCGUUAAUCGGAAUUACUGGGCGUAAAGCGCACGCAGGCGGUUUGUUAAGUCAGAUGUGAAAUCCCCGGGCUCAACCUGGGAACUGCAUCUGAUACUGGCAAGCUUGAGUCUCG
This 661-nucleotide ribosomal RNA is filed under the name Escherichia coli. RNAcentral's name for it is "bacterial SSU rRNA". It matches the Rfam family "Bacterial small subunit ribosomal RNA", at positions 1 to 651 of the family's 1533-position model. The record is from RNAcentral. Lineage: Bacteria; Pseudomonadati; Pseudomonadota; Gammaproteobacteria; Enterobacterales; Enterobacteriaceae.